GUCGUCGUGGCCGAGUGGUUAAGGCGACAAACUAGAAAUCUGUUGGGCUCUGCCCGCACAGGUUCGAAUCCUGUCGGCGACG
Non-coding RNA from Ciona savignyi (Pacific transparent sea squirt), 82 nucleotides. The record is from Rfam. NCBI's taxonomy places the organism in Eukaryota, Metazoa, Chordata, Ascidiacea, Phlebobranchia, Cionidae.